AUUGAACGCUGGCGGCAGGCCUAACACAUGCAAGUCGAGCGAGCGGCGGACGGGUGAGUAAUGUCUGGGAAACUGCCUGAUGGAGGGGGAUAACUACUGGAAACGGUAGCUAAUACCGCAUACCAUCAGAUGUUCCCAGAUGUGGUUAGCUAGUAGGUGUGGUAACGGCUCACCGAGGCGACGAUCCCUAGCUGGUCUUACAGGAUGACCAGCCACACGGGAGCUGAGACACGGUCCAGACUCCUACGGGAGGCAGCCGUGGGGAAUCUUGCACAAUGGGCGCAAGCCUGAUGCAGCCAUGCCGCGUGUGUGAAGAAGGCCUUCGGGUUGUAAAGUACUUUCAGCGGGGAGGCGUUACCCGCAGAAGAAGCACCGGCUAACUCCGUGCCAGCAGCCGCGGUAAUUC
RNAcentral lists this ribosomal RNA (406 nucleotides) under uncultured bacterium. Its description in RNAcentral is "partial 16S ribosomal RNA". It matches the Rfam family "Bacterial small subunit ribosomal RNA", at positions 30 to 526 of the family's 1533-position model. The record is from RNAcentral.